This 69-nucleotide ribosomal RNA is filed under the name Phytophthora infestans T30-4. Its description in RNAcentral is "8S ribosomal RNA". The record is from RNAcentral. Lineage: Eukaryota; Oomycota; Peronosporomycetes; Peronosporales; Peronosporaceae.
CUCUGUGAAGUUAAGCAGCCUCAAGCUCGUGUAAUACUCGGGUGGGUGACCACCGGAAAAGUCCGGGUG